UCUCUCUACCUUCUCUCUCCAUUUUUUCUAUCUAAAUUCUCUCCCUAUUUUCUCUCUCUAGACCUUUCUCUCUCUUUAUGAAUUUUAUCUCUCUAGAGUCUUUCUCUUCCUCUCUGAUUGCAUCACGGACUCUAGGAUAAACUUGAGAUAAAAAUAUGAUGAUCAGAGAUUGCUCCGAAAUUCGUGCAGUAGAUUAGAUCCCGAUCCGAUCCAUAUUCGAAAUUGAUAAUAUCAAUCAUGAUUAAUUCAUAUUAAGUCACCCUGAUAGG
Molecule: long non-coding RNA, 269 nt
Filed under: Elaeis guineensis (African oil palm)
Lineage: Eukaryota; Viridiplantae; Streptophyta; Magnoliopsida; Arecales; Arecaceae
Description: long non-coding RNA (EGUI_LNC017915)
Source: RNAcentral